RNAcentral lists this ribosomal RNA (440 nucleotides) under uncultured bacterium. RNAcentral's name for it is "partial 16S ribosomal RNA". It matches the Rfam family "Bacterial small subunit ribosomal RNA", at positions 338 to 795 of the family's 1533-position model. The record is from RNAcentral.
CCUACGGGAGGCAGCAGUGGGGGAUAUUGCACAAUGGGGGAAACCCUGAUGCAGCGACGCCGCGUGGGUGAAGAAGCGCCUCGGCGCGUAAAGCCCUGUCAGCAGGGAAGAAAAUGACGGUACCUGAAGAAGAAGCCGCGGCUAACUACGUGCCAGCAGCCGCGGUAAUACGUAGGGGGCAAGCGUGAUCCGGAUUUACUGGGGGUAAAGGGGGCGCAGUCGGCGAUGCAAGCCAGGAGGGAAAGCCCCGGGCCCAACCCCGGGACUGCUCUUGGAACUGCGUGGCUGGAGUGCAGGAGGGGCAGGCGGAAUUCCUGGUGUAGCGGUGAAAGGCGUAGAUAUCAGGAGGAACACCGGUGGCGAAGGCGGCCUGCUGGACUGCAACUGACGUUGAGGCCCGAAAGCGUGGGGAGCAAACAGGAUUAGAUACCCUGGUAGUC